Long non-coding RNA from Sinocyclocheilus anshuiensis, 76 nucleotides. RefSeq lists it as uncharacterized. The record is from RefSeq and is a predicted model, not a curated record. NCBI's taxonomy places the organism in Eukaryota, Metazoa, Chordata, Actinopteri, Cypriniformes, Cyprinidae. The transcript is spliced from 3 exons.
UAGGGAGGGGGGGCAGGCGCCCUGGAGGCUGGUGCAGGACUGGAACAGGGCCGAGACCAGGGAAGCCUCCAGGGCG